RNAcentral lists this ribosomal RNA (496 nucleotides) under uncultured bacterium. Its description in RNAcentral is "partial 16S ribosomal RNA". It matches the Rfam family "Bacterial small subunit ribosomal RNA", at positions 29 to 507 of the family's 1533-position model. The record is from RNAcentral.
AUGAACGCUGGCGGCGUGCCUAAUACAUGCAAGUCGAGCGAACAGACGAGGAGCUUGCUCCUCUGACGUUAGCGGCGGACGGGUGAGUAACACGUGGAUAACCUACCUAUAAGACUGGGAUAACUUCGGGAAACCGGAGCUAAUACCGGAUAAUAUAUUGAACCGCAUGGUUCAAUAGUGAAAGACGGUUUUGCUGUCACUUAUAGAUGGAUCCGCGCCGCAUUAGCUAGUUGGUAAGGUAACGGCUUACCAAGGCAACGAUGCGUAGCCGACCUGAGAGGGUGAUCGGCCACACUGGAACUGAGACACGGUCCAGACUCCUACGGGAGGCAGCAGUAGGGAAUCUUCCGCAAUGGGCGAAAGCCUGACGGAGCAACGCCGCGUGAGUGAUGAAGGUCUACGGAUCGUAAAACUCUGUUAUUAGGGAAGAACAAAUGUGUAAGUAACUAUGCACGUCUUGACGGUACCUAAUCAGAAAGCCACGGCUAACUACGUG